AUUGAACGCUGGCGGCAGGCCUAACACAUGCAAGUCGAGCGGCAGCGGGAAAGUAGCUUGCUACUUUUGCCGGCGAGCGGCGGACGGGUGAGUAAUGCCUGGGGAUCUGCCCAGUCGAGGGGGAUAACUACUGGAAACGGUAGCUAAUACCGCAUACGCCCUACGGGGGAAAGCAGGGGACCUUCGGGCCUUGCGGGCUUGGAUGCACCCAGGUGGGAUUGGCUAGUUGGUGAGGUAAUGGCUCACCAAGGCGACGAGCCCUAGCUGGUCUGAGAGGAUGAUCAGCCACACUGGAACUGAGACACGGUCCAGACUCCUACGGGAGGCAGCAGUGGGGAAUAUUGCACAAUGGGGGAAACCCUGAUGCAGCCAUGCCGCGUGUGUGAAGAAGGCCUUCGGGUUGUAAAGCACUUUCAGCGAGGAGGAAAAGUUGGUAGCUAAUAACUGCCAGCUGUGACGUUACUCGCAGAAGAAGCACCGGCUAACUCCGUGCCAGCCGCCGCCGUAA
RNAcentral lists this ribosomal RNA (508 nucleotides) under uncultured bacterium. RNAcentral's name for it is "partial 16S ribosomal RNA". It matches the Rfam family "Bacterial small subunit ribosomal RNA", at positions 29 to 523 of the family's 1533-position model. The record is from RNAcentral.